CUUACCUGCCCAGUGAUUUCUUUAAACGGCCGCGGUAUCCUAACCGUGCAAAGGUAGCAUAAUCAUUUGUUCCUUAAAUGGGGACUAGAAUGAACGGUUAAAUGAGGACUAAACUGUCUCUUAUACUAAACCAAUAAACUUGAUCUUUCAGUCCAAAAGCUGAAAUAAAAACAUAAGACGAGAAGACCCUGUGGAGCUUUUAAACCAACCUACAAAUCCCAUGUAUCCUAAGGUUUUUAGUUGGGGCGACUUUGGAGCACGAAAACCCUCCAACCACGGAAUCUUAUUUAUAGACACACACGUCAAUAAACCACAUCCCGACCCAGUAAUUCAACCAAAUUAUCUGAUCUAUGAACCAAGUUACCCCAGGGAUAACAGCGCUAUCUUCUUCUAGAGUUCCUAUCGACAAGAAGGUUUACGACCUCGAUGUUGGAUCAGGACACCCCUAUAGUGCAACCGCUAUAAAAGGUUCGUUUGUUCAACGAUUAAAGUCCUACGUGAU
Molecule: ribosomal RNA, 502 nt
Filed under: Meroles squamulosus
Lineage: Eukaryota; Metazoa; Chordata; Lepidosauria; Squamata; Lacertidae
Description: partial large subunit ribosomal RNA
Rfam family: Bacterial large subunit ribosomal RNA
Source: RNAcentral